GUUAACUUAUUUUACUUUAUUUUUUUAAUUUUCGAGUAGGGAUGUUAAUUGGGCCAGCCCAUCGAGUUUCGGGCUAAUCGGGUUGAGAAUUUUGUCGGGUUAUAAAUUUUCAACCUCAACCCUAAACUUUCGGGUUUCAAGAUGUUUGAAUUCAUUCUUGUUGAAUCUCUUCUUGACCUACUAAUUGAAGAGAAAGUAUCUUUCCAAGAUGAUGGGAGUUCAUUCUUGUUUUUUUUUCGAAGGAAGGGAAUUCAUCUUUGCCAAAACAGAAACCCUGAUUAAAAAACACACAAUUUUACUUCAGUAGAGAUAGAGAUGAUAUUUAAUGAGAUACACAUAGAAGGUUAAAAUUCAUAUAUAUACAUACUAGUAUGAGAAUUGGGCAUCAAAGUAUUUGCAAGGCCUAUGGCUCCAGCAGUAUUUUCCUCAACUCAUGAUCACCCUUCUCACUGAGACAGCCCGAGCCGGGUAGCGAAGUCAGCCACACUUGAU
Molecule: long non-coding RNA, 492 nt
Filed under: Salvia miltiorrhiza (redroot sage)
Lineage: Eukaryota; Viridiplantae; Streptophyta; Magnoliopsida; Lamiales; Lamiaceae
Description: long non-coding RNA (SMIL_LNC004787)
Source: RNAcentral